RNAcentral lists this ribosomal RNA (2892 nucleotides) under Pseudomonas sp. TH49. RNAcentral's name for it is "23S ribosomal RNA". It matches the Rfam family "Bacterial large subunit ribosomal RNA". Lineage: Bacteria; Pseudomonadati; Pseudomonadota; Gammaproteobacteria; Pseudomonadales; Pseudomonadaceae. The record is from RNAcentral.
GGUCAAGUGAAGAAGCGCAUACGGUGGAUGCCUUGGCAGUCAGAGGCGAUGAAAGACGUGGUAGCCUGCGAAAAGCUUCGGGGAGUCGGCAAACAGACUUUGAUCCGGAGAUGUCUGAAUGGGGGAACCCAACCAUCAUAAGAUGGUUAUCUUGUACUGAAUACAUAGGUGCAAGAGGCGAACCAGGGGAACUGAAACAUCUAAGUACCCUGAGGAAAAGAAAUCAACCGAGAUUCCCUUAGUAGUGGCGAGCGAACGGGGACUAGCCCUUAAGUGGCUUUGAGAUUAGCGGAACGCUCUGGAAAGUGCGGCCAUAGUGGGUGAUAGCCCUGUACGCGAAAAUCUCUUGGUCAUGAAAUCGAGUAGGACGGAGCACGAGAAACUUUGUCUGAAUAUGGGGGGACCAUCCUCCAAGGCUAAAUACUACUGACUGACCGAUAGUGAACUAGUACCGUGAGGGAAAGGCGAAAAGAACCCCGGAGAGGGGAGUGAAAUAGAUCCUGAAACCGUAUGCGUACAAGCAGUGGGAGCCCACUUUGUUGGGUGACUGCGUACCUUUUGUAUAAUGGGUCAGCGACUUAUUUUCAGUGGCGAGCUUAACCGAAUAGGGGAGGCGUAGCGAAAGCGAGUCUUAAUAGGGCGUCUAGUCGCUGGGAAUAGACCCGAAACCGGGCGAUCUAUCCAUGGGCAGGUUGAAGGUUAGGUAACACUGACUGGAGGACCGAACCGACUACCGUUGAAAAGUUAGCGGAUGACCUGUGGAUCGGAGUGAAAGGCUAAUCAAGCUCGGAGAUAGCUGGUUCUCCUCGAAAGCUAUUUAGGUAGCGCCUCAUGUAUCACUGUAGGGGGUAGAGCACUGUUUCGGCUAGGGGGUCAUCCCGACUUACCAAACCGAUGCAAACUCCGAAUACCUACAAGUGCCGAGCAUGGGAGACACACGGCGGGUGCUAACGUCCGUCGUGAAAAGGGAAACAACCCAGACCGUCAGCUAAGGUCCCAAAGUUAUGGUUAAGUGGGAAACGAUGUGGGAAGGCUUAGACAGCUAGGAGGUUGGCUUAGAAGCAGCCACCCUUUAAAGAAAGCGUAAUAGCUCACUAGUCGAGUCGGCCUGCGCGGAAGAUGUAACGGGGCUCAAACCAUACACCGAAGCUACGGGUAUCACGUAAGUGAUGCGGUAGAGGAGCGUUCUGUAAGCCUGUGAAGGUGAGUUGAGAAGCUUGCUGGAGGUAUCAGAAGUGCGAAUGCUGACAUGAGUAACGACAAUGGGUGUGAAAAACACCCACGCCGAAAGACCAAGGUUUCCUGCGCAACGUUAAUCGACGCAGGGUUAGUCGGUCCCUAAGGCGAGGCUGAAAAGCGUAGUCGAUGGAAAACAGGUUAAUAUUCCUGUACUUCUGGUUAUUGCGAUGGAGGGACGGAGAAGGCUAGGCCAGCUUGGCGUUGGUUGUCCAAGUUUAAGGUGGUAGGCUGAGAUCUUAGGUAAAUCCGGGAUCUUAAGGCCGAGAGCUGAUGACGAGUUACCCUUUGGGUGACGAAGUGGUUGAUGCCAUGCUUCCAAGAAAAGCUUCUAAGCUUCAGGUAACCAGGAACCGUACCCCAAACCGACACAGGUGGUUGGGUAGAGAAUACCAAGGCGCUUGAGAGAACUCGGGUGAAGGAACUAGGCAAAAUGGCACCGUAACUUCGGGAGAAGGUGCGCCGGUGAGGGUGAAGGACUUGCUCCGUAAGCUCAUGCCGGUCGAAGAUACCAGGCCGCUGCGACUGUUUAUUAAAAACACAGCACUCUGCAAACACGAAAGUGGACGUAUAGGGUGUGACGCCUGCCCGGUGCCGGAAGGUUAAUUGAUGGGGUUAGCUAACGCGAAGCUCUUGAUCGAAGCCCCGGUAAACGGCGGCCGUAACUAUAACGGUCCUAAGGUAGCGAAAUUCCUUGUCGGGUAAGUUCCGACCUGCACGAAUGGCGUAACGAUGGCGGCGCUGUCUCCACCCGAGACUCAGUGAAAUUGAAAUCGCUGUGAAGAUGCAGUGUAUCCGCGGCUAGACGGAAAGACCCCGUGAACCUUUACUAUAGCUUUGCACUGGACUUUGAAUUUGCUUGUGUAGGAUAGGUGGGAGGCUUUGAAGCGUGGACGCCAGUUCGCGUGGAGCCAUCCUUGAAAUACCACCCUGGCAACUUUGAGGUUCUAACUCAGGUCCGUUAUCCGGAUCGAGGACAGUGUAUGGUGGGUAGUUUGACUGGGGCGGUCUCCUCCUAAAGAGUAACGGAGGAGUACGAAGGUGCGCUCAGACCGGUCGGAAAUCGGUCGUAGAGUAUAAAGGCAAAAGCGCGCUUGACUGCGAGACAGACACGUCGAGCAGGUACGAAAGUAGGUCUUAGUGAUCCGGUGGUUCUGUAUGGAAGGGCCAUCGCUCAACGGAUAAAAGGUACUCCGGGGAUAACAGGCUGAUACCGCCCAAGAGUUCAUAUCGACGGCGGUGUUUGGCACCUCGAUGUCGGCUCAUCACAUCCUGGGGCUGAAGCCGGUCCCAAGGGUAUGGCUGUUCGCCAUUUAAAGUGGUACGCGAGCUGGGUUUAGAACGUCGUGAGACAGUUCGGUCCCUAUCUGCCGUGGACGUUUGAGAUUUGAGAGGGGCUGCUCCUAGUACGAGAGGACCGGAGUGGACGAACCUCUGGUGUUCCGGUUGUCACGCCAGUGGCAUUGCCGGGUAGCUAUGUUCGGGAAAGAUAACCGCUGAAAGCAUCUAAGCGGGAAACUUGCCUCAAGAUGAGAUCUCACUGGAACCUUGAGUUCCCUGAAGGGCCGUCGAAGACUACGACGUUGAUAGGUUGGGUGUGUAAGCGCUGUGAGGCGUUGAGCUAACCAAUACUAAUUGCCCGUGAGGCUUGACCAU